Molecule: long non-coding RNA, 6290 nt
Organism: Oncorhynchus tshawytscha (Chinook salmon)
Lineage: Eukaryota; Metazoa; Chordata; Actinopteri; Salmoniformes; Salmonidae
Source: Ensembl
AGCAGGUACCCAUGUGCCAUCUCCUCAUUGGUUAUACCCACGUGGGUGAUUGAAAGACUAACUGUUUUGCCGGUCGUCUUGGUAAUACUAUGAAGUUUAGAUGCCAAUCACCAUAUAAGUUCAAAGAUGAAAAAGCAGGGAAGGAGGAGAGAUGACCGUUUUAUGUGUGCAUUAAUUGUCAGAGUAGAGGACCUUGUGCAUUUCAGGUAAAAUAACAACUCAAUUUUUAUAUCCCAGGACAAAUUAGCUAGCAACAGCAAGCUAGCUAAAUAGGAUAAAUUAGCUAGCAUGUGCAAGCUAGCUAGCUAAAUUGCCAUACAUAUUUAAUGCUUUUCGACCUGACCCCAAAUGAAUGUAAUUGGUUCAGAGUUUGUUUUGAUAUUUUAACCUGCGGGUCGUGAUCGCGUUUGGUGUUGGGGGGACAAAAUAAAUUUAUGCACGAUGGCGCACGCGCGCAGCCAGUUUGGGUUCCGUGUUAGCGAAUGUUCUCUCUGCAUGGUGUAUUGGGAAACGCAUGUUACAUCUUCGACCGUUGCAGGAAAGAUGCAUUGUUAAAACACUCUUAAGCCUAAAUGACAUCGCUAUCAGGAAACUGGGCCGUCGUUUUUACCAGUCAACCACUGCAUCGUUUUUACCAGUCAACUUUUUAAGUGUUUCCCAAACAAGCACCUAGAGAGAACAUUCGCCAAGUGCGCCAUGUGUCGAGACUGACAGGAUCGAAGGUAAUGCACAGCUGCUCUCGGAUCAGCUUUCUCCAUUAAAAUCUUACCUUAACGUUAUAAUUAUUCCACAAUACUGAUGAUGGAUCAGCUCAUAGAGAAAUAUUAGCUUUGUUAUAACACUCAAAUCAUCCUCUCCUAAUUUACCUUACUUUAAGGACAAGUGGUCAUCAGGUAGACUAGCGGUUAAGACCGAAAGGUCACUGUUUAUAAUCACCGAGCCGACUAGGGGGAAAAAAUCUGUUGAUUAUGCCCUUGAGCAAGGCACUUAACCCUAGUAAGUCACUCUGGAAAAGAGUGUCUGCUAAAUGUCAGGAAAAAAUUACUAAAAAUAUUACUGGAGGAAAUUCAAGCUCAUGUUAUUUUAUUUCAUGUUAUAGUAGUUUCUCUCUUGCAACUGCCAAGAUUAACAUCUGUUUUCAAUACAAGUCAUUGUCCUGACCUUUGAUUUCAGCAUGGCUCCAUAAAACACAUAAAAAUAUGUACUACAAAAAAAGAAAAACCUUGAAUGUCAAUGCUAUCUUUCUCUUCCUGCAUGAGUUGUACUCAUUGAUCAUGAUACAUGCCCAUGCAUGCUUGUGGCAGUCUUCGGAAGGUUACUUUAUGAACAGCUGUUUUUGCAUCUUUUGCUAGACCUCUCGGGAUAAGAUAAGACGCUGCUGUGUGCCAUGAAAUCAAGUGCCUUCAGACUUAGUGGAAGAUUACGUGAAUGGAAAACCCGACAUUGGCUAGUUUACCAUCCAAGCAUUUGCCCCUUAGGCACAUUUUAUAGAGAUAGAAUCGAUCAUGCUGUAAUCUGCAGCUAACUCUAGUAUCAAGGGUCAACUCUGCAUGUGGUGGCACAGUGUCAAAUUAUGGAUAUCUACACCGCUCUCUUUAUUUUGACCUAGGAGAAUGACUUUACUGCCCUUGACAGUCUAGCCUUUUGGAGUGGGACUUGUGCUCAAGCAGAGAAAGGAUGGUGGCCAAGCUUUGUCAGAGUGACUGAGCGAGAACGGGGAGCUCUUAGAAAUAAGCAAUGGGCUCUGACAAAAAAUCGACUUGUAGGGAGGGAUGCUUUUGAAGUCUACCAAUUCAUUUCAGCUGGACUCGCUGAGAAAGACAUUAUUGUGACUUCGUCCAAGGACUGUGAAAGGAAGACCUUUCAAGUGUGACUCUUACGGCUGAUAAUGGCCUUGGCUUACCUGGGUGUCUGUCAGUCCAUUAGAUCAGGCUGUGUGGUUCUCACAGACCUAUUUUAGUACUCAAAUGAGAGUGUAACUCUACUUUUACAGAAACUGUAAAGACCUUGGAACUACCUGAGACCAUGAGUUACCUUAACCAGCUGGUUUAAAAAAUAAAAAAAAGUAUUGUAAAAUGACUCUACUAUUGUUCGUAAAAAAAAAUGUUUUGGGAGAAAAUGUAGAUUUCCCUUUUUAUUUUCUGAUUCCUUUUUAUUUAUUUUUUACAGAAUAAUCAGAAAUAGGCUUUGAGGGCCCUAUUCCGACUUGGGAAAUUACGCCUUUCUUACGCACACCUUUCUUACGCACUUCUCAGUAGGCCGCGACAGUAUUUACAGAGGAAGCAAAUGAAGGUAAAUGAAACAAUGUACUUAAAUGGAAUGAUAAUGUAGGCUAUACCAACUGAAGGGAAGUAACAGUAAAUUGGCAGUAGAAUAUGUGUGGUUAUUAGGCCUACUGGCGGUCGUGACUAAUAUUUAACAUGAUAAAAAUAGGAAACGGAGACAGUCGGGGUAGCAUAUAAUUAAGACAUUAGAGAGUGCCCAUCCCUGCAAGUUAAAAGGCAGUACAAUUUAAAUUCUGCAUAUUUCAUUUUAUAAACUUUACUGUGGGAAAGUUGAUAUGUUGAUAUGCUUCAGUUUGCUGCCAUAUGAAUGGUUUCACAUUCGUCUCCAGUGAUAUUGAGGUAAAAUAUAUCUAAAAACAAGUGUCAUUUAUAUUUAUAAUUCCUUUAUCCAAACAGAUUACUCAUUCACCCAGCUCUUCUUAAUAGCUCUUAUCCAGCUGUAAAUAGCAGUGCAGAAUAAAGUAGAUGCCUUUUUCCACUUGGAGCCGGUAGGUUUGCUAGACCUUAUUCAUGGUUUAUUCUCACGUAAAGGUGGUGGAAAUAUUAGGGAAUUAAGUCAGAAUAUGGUGUAUCUGCAGACACACUUCCGCCACUCUUUCAUUUGCUCGAUCUCCACCCAAAACGAAUAGCAGGUGAAUAGCAUGCUAUUCUCAUGUUUAUGUUCAAGGUCAGAAUACGCGUAGAGAGUGUGUUAAAAAGGGAAUUACGUUCCAUUAUCCCAUGCUUAACUCAGGUCGGAAUCGGGCCCUAAGCAAAUACAUAUGGUGAACACCACAUUAUAAAAUAUUCUAUAAGAAAACAUUUGUCAUUCAAAAAGCACAAGAUAACACAAAACAGAUUUUGACUAAAUUUAGUACAUUUCUCACACAGAUUUAGGCCGAGACAGUUCCUCUCAGCAACCUGUUAAAACAGAAGAAAAUGUGUUCUUCUCUGUUCGAUGAAAUUAUUAAUGUAAAUCAUAGCAUGUGUGGUCACUUUUAAUAAUGGAAAAUAUAAAAUUUCAUUGAACAGUUCGCUUUAUAACUUCCAUUCUCCCAUGUCUCUCAAUUCAAUAUCUGAUUGCGUUGUUUAUCUGCAGACGUUAAAGGGAAAAUCCACUCAAACUAUAUUUUGGUAUUUUUUUCAUUAGUCAUGAUGCAUUCAAAACAACUAGGAGCUUCGGACCUCGGAAAUCUCAGACGUCAGUAUGAUCAAAACAACUGGGAACUCGGGAAAACAAAUGAGCUCAGACUGGGGAAAAUUGUUUUGGACGGUCAAUCCAACUCGUCAUUUCAAGCUCCGACUUUCUGACCAGAAGAUCAUUGACAUCAUGAUUUGACCUUGUUUCUUAAUGAGUUCCCAGUUGUUUUGAAAGCACCGUCAUUUCAAGAGGCAAAGUGUUCCUGGCCGCAUCAUCAUGACGAUGCAAAAUGCAUCAGAUGAUGUAGCCGAUGACACUUUCAUUCUUGAAAGUCCGAUAUCUUUAAAACUUCACUUGCUCACAUGCAAAACAUUUUAGGACUGUAUCAACAGUGGACUAAUGAAGAAUAUAUCAAAAGAUAGUGUUUGGCUGGAUUUUCCCUCAUGACUACUUGUGUUUAUUAUUUCUAAGUAAUGGAUACAGAUACAGCAGAUACAUUUUUCAACUCUCCUUUCCAUUGCUUCUGGUUUGCUCUGUCAUUCUAUACUGAACUAAAAUAUAAACACAACAUGUAAAGUGUUGGUCCCAUGUUUCAUGAGCUGAAAUAAAAAAUCCCAGAAAGUUACCAUAUGCAUAAAAAGCUUAUUUCUCUCAAAGUUUAUGCACAUAUUUGGGGGUGCUGAGGAAUAUUUCUGUUUUUAAUAAAGCCCUUUUGUGGGUAAAAACUAUUUCCGAUUGGCUGGAUCUGGCUCGCAAGUAGGUGGGCCCAUGCCCUCCCAGGCCCAUCCAUGGCUGCGCCCAGUCAUGUGAAAUCCAUAGAUUAGGGCCUAAUGAAGUUAUUUCAAUUGAAUGAUUUCCUUUUAUGAACUGUAUCUCAGUAAAAUCUUUGAAAGUGUUGCAUGUUGCGUUUAUAUUUUUGUUCAGUAAAAACAUACAGUUGAAGUCAGAAGUUUACAUACACCUUAGCCAAAUACAUUUAAACUCAGUUUUCCACAAUUCCUGACAUUUAAUCCUGGUAAAAGUUCCCUGUUUUAGGUCAGUUAGGAUCACCACUUUAUUUUAAGAAUAUAAAAUGUCAGAAUAAUAGUAGAGAGAAUUAUUUGUUUCAGCUUUUAUUUCUUUCAUCACAUUCCCAGUGGGUCAGAUGUUUACAUACACUCAAUUAGUAUUUGGUAGCAUUUCCUUUAAAUUGUUUAACUUGGGUCAAACGUUUCAGAUAGCCUUCCACAAGCUUCCCACGAUAAGUUGGGUGAAUUUUGGCCUAUUCCGCCUGACAGCCUGUGUAACUGAGUCAGGUUUGUAGGCCUCCUUGCUCACACACGCUUUUUCAGUUCUUCCCACUCCAAUACCUUGAAUUUGUUGUCCUUAAGCCAUUUUGCCACAACUUUGGAAGUGUGCUUGGGGUCAUUGCCCAUUUGCAAGACCCAUUUGCGACUAAGUUUUAACUUCCUGACUGAUGUCUUGAGAUGUUGCUUGAAUAUAUCCACAUAAUUUUCCUUUCCUCAUGAUGCCAUCUAUUUUGUGAAGUGCACCAGUCCCUCCUGCAGCAAAGCACCCCCACAACAUGAUGCUGCCACCCCUGUGCUUCACGGUUGGGAUGUUGUUCUUCGGCUUGCAAGCCACCCCCUUUUCCCUCCAAACAUAACGAUGGUCAUUAUGGCCAAACAGUUCUAUUUUUGUUUCAUCAGACCAGAGGACAGUUGCAAACCGUAGCCUGGCUUUUUUAUGGCGGUUUUGGAGCUAUGGCUUCUUCCUUGCUGAGCGGCCUUUCAGGUUAUGUCGAUAUAGGACUUGUUUUACUGUGGAUAUAGAUACUUUUGUACCUGUUUCCUCCAGCAUCUUCACAAGGUCCUUUGCUGUUGUUCUGGGAUUGAUUUGCAUUUUUCACAUCAAAGUACGUUCAUCUCUAGGAGACAGAACGCGCCUCCUUCCUGAGCGGUGUGACGGCUGCAUGGUCCCAUGGUGUUUAUACUUGUGUACUAUUGUUUGUACAGAUGAAUGUGUUACUUUCAGGCGUUUGGAAAUUGCUCCCAAGGAUGAACCAGACUUGUGGAGGUCUAAAAAAAACAAUCUGAGGUCUUGGCUUAUUUCUUUUGAUUUUCCUAUGACGUCAAGCAAAGAGGCACUGAGUUUGAAGGUAGACCUUGAAAUACAUCCACAGGUACACCUCCAAUUGACUCAAAUGAUGUCAAUUAGCCUAUCAACUUCUAAAGCCAUGACAUCAUUUUCUGGAAUUUUCCAAGCUGUUUAAAGGCACAGUCAACUUAGUGUAUGUAAACUUCUGACCCCCUAGAACUGUGAUACAGUGAAUUAUAAGUGAAAUAAUCUGUCUGUGAACAAUUGUUUGAAAAAUGACUUGUGUCACGUACAAAGUAGAUGUCAAAACCGUCUUGCCAGAACUAUAAGUUUGUUAACAAGAGAUUUGUGGAGUGGUUGAAAAACAAGUUUUAAUGACUCCAACCUAAAUGUAUGUUAACUUCCGACUUCAACUGUAAGUACCGCAAGCAAACUCAUUUUAUUUGAUUAAUUUCAUUGCUUUUUAAUGUGUGUCGACAAAACAAAUUCUCUCCUAGCCUACCAUCUUGAGCCAAGUGAGUGUUUCAAUUCUACCCUCAAAGUAAACCCAUAUAUUCUAUUGUACAGCAGAUUUCAACUGGCACUUUAACUCAAUAAUGCAUUUGCUCAAAUGGGGACAAAAUAAAUGUAUUAUUUGGGGUAAUCAUUCUCUUGACAACAACACCCCAGAACAGAACUUCAUCUAACUGUAUCAGAAAAAAAAAUUUUUUAUAACUUAUAUUAUCUGCAACAGACUUCCAGUCAUUAUUUGGAUUUGAUUUCCCAGAUGAUUGCUUUGCAUUAUUACGAAUAAAUACCCUUCAAAUGUC